RNAcentral lists this unclassified non-coding RNA (414 nucleotides) under Hevea brasiliensis (rubber tree). The record is from RNAcentral. Lineage: Eukaryota; Viridiplantae; Streptophyta; Magnoliopsida; Malpighiales; Euphorbiaceae.
CUCUAGAGUAACUCGGGGAGGCAGAGCAGGGGCAGAAAGAAAAACCCAAAGAUCCGUCCUUUGCUGCUCCCCAAAGGAUCACACUUCUCCCAGUACCCCAUCAGUCCAAGCUCCCCUUCGCCCUUCUACUUCUUUGUUCGCAUGAUCCAAUCUUAAAACCUUUAAAUCAACUAAAACCCAGUUUAUUUCCAACGUCUCCAUCUGUUCUGAUCAUGGCCCAUUCCGCAGCAGUCUCGCAGGUUUCUUUUGCUGUUCCUGUUGGGAGCGAUUCCACUCUACGAAGAUCAGUUCUUAAGCCACGCAGUAUAAGCUUCAGUGAUAAAUCAUGGGUCCCUUCAUUAGCUUUGGAUUUGAAAUCAAGGAAUGCUCGAUUGCAAAAUCAUUACAUAGUAUGCAUGUCAUUGCAACAAGCCA